AUCUGCCUGGCUCCCUGGAUGCCAACUAAGGAUGGUGUUGAUAAAGAAUUGGCCCUUCCUAGUUGGCAUCAGAGGAGUCAAGCAGGU
Molecule: non-coding RNA, 87 nt
Organism: Gossypium raimondii (Peruvian cotton)
Lineage: Eukaryota; Viridiplantae; Streptophyta; Magnoliopsida; Malvales; Malvaceae
Source: Rfam